Molecule: long non-coding RNA, 998 nt
Organism: Alligator sinensis (Chinese alligator)
Lineage: Eukaryota; Metazoa; Chordata; Crocodylia; Alligatoridae
Exons: 3
Source: RefSeq, a predicted model, not a curated record
ACUGAGACGGAAAUAAUGUUCUUUGCUGACUUUUUCAGACGGAUUUUCUUUGUUUAGCUAUUUGCUCUUACCUUUAAAAAAAGAGAGAGAGCUUAUUCUGCAGAAAGUAGCAAUCCUUGCCUUGCCAAGAUUUCUGUUCCUUUCAGCACUUCGUGAAAGAUCUGGAUAAAGGAGAUGGAGGCAUGAUGGAAUUAGAAGGAUGAAAUCGGCACCUCGUGGUGGAAAGCUGAAGGAUAUUACAAGCAAGGAUUAAGUCGAAACAGAAGACUGCACCGGAGCUAAAGGCAUCCUGUGCUUGCUCCAGAUGGCAUCUCUUGGCCGGCCAAGCUCACAUCAUGUUCUCUCCAAGGAGGACAGGAAGAGCACAAUGUAAUUUUGGCAUCCUGGCAAAUGAAGAUCACGCCCGUGAAAGCAAAUCCCCUUUAAUUAUUGCCACGAAGCACUAGGGCGCCAUCAAGGCUGUGCGCAAACUGCUUUUUUGUCCCAAAGGGCAUGAAGAAAUAAAUGCUUUCUGUUCAAAAGCCCUUCCCACCCACCUCUCCUCCCCACCCAGCUGAAAAUGUCCCUUGCAGUUCUGGUUUCGAAGCACGGCAGGAUGGUGAUACGGUGCGUACUGCUGGCCGACAAUUGCCAGCAAACGCUGAAAUGUUAUUUGUGGCUGUUGUAAUGGGAAUAACAAAAUCUUGCUGGCUUUAACUGGUUCUAAAUUGUGCGGACGCUGCGUGGCUGUGUCGUCCAGGGACGUGCACAGCGGAGCUGAUGAAACUGUACGGGGAGUCUGAAGAGAAGAGCGUGAUACUUGGAGCAUUUCUGUUUUGCAUGUGUGGGGGGAGCCUCUUGUCCCUGCCGCCGGCAAGGUGACGGAUGCCUCUGCACCAAUACCAAUAAAAAAAAGUCUGAGAAAAACCAAGCUAGCUCCUAGCAGCUCUUGCUCUUUGCUCCCAACCCAGCUCUCAUGUGCCCGCAAGCUCAGCUGGCUCUCCUGAGUGCUGGGCACC